Drosophila pseudoobscura is the source of this 1432-nucleotide long non-coding RNA. RefSeq lists it as uncharacterized. The transcript has 3 exons. NCBI's taxonomy places the organism in Eukaryota, Metazoa, Arthropoda, Insecta, Diptera, Drosophilidae. The record is from RefSeq and is a predicted model, not a curated record.
CGGUUUUGUCUGCAGAUAUGUAUGAACGAUGUUACAUUUAGCUUGUUUCCCAGAGGGCAAUGCCGGCUAGCUGUCGACCCCAGGGCUGGGUAGUUCCCCUUGCCCGCCAAAUGUAGACAAAAAAGGAGACAUACUACUUCUCGGGACAUCAAAACUAACAACAACCUAACAACAACAAAGAAAAUCAUAAACAGACGGCUAUCAAGUGGGUGAAGCUUGGGUGUUACCACUUCGCGCGCCCGCCCUACCUGUGACCAAACACAACGUUCAUUUUGGCCACCCUCUGCUGGAACGGGAUACCCUCACCCAUUCGUACUGGAAUAUGUGUAGAUGAGUGGAGACUGGAUCCGUCUUACGGGAGUUACUUUCACUCGGGCCCCUACGGAGACCUGACCUACCAAGAGCUCUUGUUAAGGGUCCCCGGGACAUAAACAAUAAACAAUAUUUUCCACAAAUCACUCGACCACAUACGGUGGACUGAUGGGACCCCCGCGUCACCCGCUAAGGGUUAAUCUUCUGGCGUUGACCAGCUGAUCGCCGAUUUACGUUUGUGAAAGGUGUUGGUGUUUUUACAUGUUUUUUUUUUUCACUGGCCAAGAUUUUACGUUAAACGUUUUAAGCUUAUACUAAAUACAGAAUAAAGGACAACACACGGAACAAAAUAACAUUUACUGUGGAACGGUGUUUGGAGUGCGGAUUAUUUUUUUUUCUUUAAGUUCAAUAACGUGGGCUCGCUGAUCGCUGGCCGUGGCCGGUCAGCCCUAAAUUUAUCUAGGUCCGUGUAUACGUGUGCGCGCGUGUGUGUGUGUGAAUAGGAUUUCGAGGUUUUCACUUGGUAAAAGAGCCCAAACGUGUGGCACGCACUGGACGGCGAUGCAACGAUCGUGCGGUGUGGCUAGAAUCGCCCUGGCAGCUCACUCGACCUCUUUCACCCCCCCCCUCUUCACACGUCCCGCACUACUUGGCUCACACACGCGCAACUGGAACGAACUCACUCAGGUCCCGUUGUACCGUCUUCUUCUCUGCAGUCGACUUUCUCGGACUCCAGUGUUCCUCUCCAGGAAAUCUUCCGGCCCGGUUCUGGUGGCUAUAUUCCUUGCCGGUUCAAACUUAACGGCUCCAACUCCCCCCGAUGUCCCCAUACACCAUCGAGCCUCCCUGGACUCCCGCUAGAUGGCGCGUCGCCCUCAGCCCUGGCCACCUAUCGUUCAGGUGGGACUGGAACAACGAACGUAUUCAUUGAAUUUUCUAUGACUUCGUUCUAUUGUCCCUAAGGUCUGGUGGUGGUGUGCAGUGGACGUUAUGUUGUCUAUCUUAAGAUAUUUGCACAAAUCAUUUAUGAUUGAAUUCUUAUAUUCUGUUCCCAUGUCCGUAAUGAACGUCUUCAUCGGACCGUACUUCAGAAUAAAGUUUUCAAAUAUUGCUUUGGCAA